RNAcentral lists this ribosomal RNA (253 nucleotides) under uncultured bacterium. RNAcentral's name for it is "partial 16S ribosomal RNA". It matches the Rfam family "Bacterial small subunit ribosomal RNA", at positions 524 to 776 of the family's 1533-position model. The record is from RNAcentral.
UACGUAGGGGCCUAGCGUUGCCCGGAAUUACUGGGCGUAAAGCGUGCGCAGGCGGCUUUGCAAGGCAGAUGUGAAAUCCCCGGGCUCAACCUGGGAACUGCAUUUGUGACUGCAAGGCUAGAGUACGGUAGAGGGGGAUGGAAUUCCGCGUGUAGCAGUGAAAUGCGUAGAUAUGCGGAGGAACACCAAUGGCGAAGGCAAUCCCCUGGACCUGUACUGACGCUCAUGCACGAAAGCGUGGGGAGCAAACAGG